Molecule: long non-coding RNA, 499 nt
Organism: Oncorhynchus keta (chum salmon)
Lineage: Eukaryota; Metazoa; Chordata; Actinopteri; Salmoniformes; Salmonidae
Exons: 3
Source: RefSeq, a predicted model, not a curated record
UGGUUAGAGUGUAGAGGUGGCAGGUAGUCUAGUGGUUAGAGUGUAGAGGUGGCAGGUAGUCUAGUGGUUAGAGUGUAGAGGUGGCAGGUAGCCUAGUGGUUAGAGUGUAGAGGAGGCAGGUAGUCUAGUGGUUAGAGUGUAGAGGAGGCAGGUAGUCUAGUGGUUAGAGUGUAGAGGAGGCAGGUAGCCUAGUGGUUAGAGUGUAGAGGAGGCAGGUAGCCUAGUGGUUAGAGUGUAGAGGAGGCAGGUAGCCUAGUGGUUAGAGUGUAGAGGAGGCAGGUAGCCUAGUGGUUAGAGUGUAGAGGAGGCAGGUAGUCUAGUGGUUAGAGUGUAGAGGAGGCAGGUAGCCUAGUGGUUAGAGUGUAGAGGAGGCAGGUAGCCUAGUGGUUAGAGUGUAGAGGAGGCAGGUAGCCUAGUGGUUAGAGUGUAGAAGAGGCAGGUAGCCUAGUGGUUAGAGUGUAGAGGAGGCAGGUAGCCUAGUGGUUAGAGUGUAGAGGAG